This 36676-nucleotide long non-coding RNA is filed under the name Musa acuminata (dwarf banana). Its description in RNAcentral is "long non-coding RNA (MACU_LNC001571)". The stretch from base 1535 to 1599 matches the Rfam family "Small nucleolar RNA snoR101". The record is from RNAcentral. Lineage: Eukaryota; Viridiplantae; Streptophyta; Magnoliopsida; Zingiberales; Musaceae.
CAAUUCAACGCUUUUUUCCGUGCGCUAGGGUUUGCCCAUCCUUCGGCUCCUCCUGUAGCAGCAUCUCACCCCGCGGUCGCCGUGGCGGCGAUGGAUCUUGCGGUGGACGGGAGGUGCGCGCUGCUGUUCGGGAGCGAGGUGGCUCUAGAAGUAUAGAUAGUCUUGUUUAAAAUAUCUUGGUACGUGUUUUCAAGUGUUCUUAUCUGUAUCUUGAAUGAUGUAUUUUAUCUCCUAUGCUUAUUUCUUCCAUUUACUUGUGCAUUUUUGUCACCCCCUCAGUUUUUAGUCGACAAGCAACUCGUUUCUUUGUGUUUGAUGCAUCCUGGGAGAUUAAGACUGCAACUAGGAGCUUCUGGUUGACUAUUAAGACAAGAUAUUUUUGACUGCAUCAACAAGUGGUAGAGCUAUGAUUUAUCAAAAAGGAAACAAUUCAGAAGAAAUUAAUCUUUUGUUAUAAGAUAUCAGUAGUAUUGUUUAUGCUGUGAGAAUAAACAAUAACAAAACUGUAAGUCCUAAUAUUUGAGAUCGACUACUACAUAUAACCGUAAGGUCAUAUGUUUAGUUAAUUUAAGUGUAUUUAAAUUUUUAUUUAUAGUAUCUACUGUUAAAGUAUUUUUAAUUUUUUUUAUCUCCCAUGUCACUAAAAUUAAUCAUUUCAUCUCUUCUGUCACGUUUGUAGGUUUGUUGAGCACAUGUCCAUACCCUCUUGAAUGAUUCUAUUUAAUUUUAUCUUCUAUCGAAGUAAUAUCUAAUUGUUGAUGAAUAAAAAUAUUUUUUUCUUAUCAUUCUCGGUAACAACACACAUAGGGGUGAAAAAUCAAAGAGCAAGAUCCAAGAGACUAUAACAGAGACUAAUUGGGAUCUCUUGCAACCAAAAUUUGGUACUGGUCAUCCUUAAAAUUGAACAGAAGAAGUGGAUUUUAUAUAAAUGUAAUAUAUGAUAUGCAACAUUUUUUUUUUGUUGAUGGUCAACCUCAACAUCUUAUGAGAGAAGCUAACAAAUUUCUUCAAACUGUCAGUUGUUGUGAACUUAGUCAAAGACACUCAUAGAGCUCCGUUUGGAACUAGUACUAUGUUUUUGUCUUCAGCCAGAAACUAGCAUGGGCUAGGAAACAUUCUUAUCAUUAUUCCAGCAAACAAAUGUGAGGGAACCAAGCUUAGAAUAUUAGUUUUACUAAAUUUUACAAAAAAAAAUAGAUGCUGGUUAAUAGUGUCUUGUGAUAGCUCUUGGGUUUUCCGAUGAGUGCAAUUCAGAUAUACAAUUUGAGUUUCUAAUAAUGUUUUUUUCUAAGCAUUCUAGGAAGGCCUUGCAUGUGCAGGCUUCGCACUGGCAUUCUGUGCACGAUUCUCCUACAUUCUAGAUGCUGAUCAUUGCCAAUGGGGCCUAAGCCAUUUGGCCAAUCACUAAUCACAGGACAGAUUAAUGUUAGAGAACUUCUGACUUGGGCCUGAAUGUUUUCACUCCUAAGUUUGUAUUCCCUCCUUUCUCCUAUUUGCUUUCUGCUUUUAUACAAAAAACAUUGUGCAUAUGAUGGCUUUACACUUGAUCUCUGAGCUUUCAGGUAAGUAAUAUGCUGACCAGAACUCUCUGCUGAUGCACAAGUUUCUUUUUUUACUUUUUUCCCUUUUUGCUUGGUUUUUAUGAUAUUAGUGUCAAUCAAUGCAGUUUCAUUGUUAGAGUGUCGCUUAGCAGAGCUUUUUCAUUUUUCUCGGAUAUCCUCUUCUAGUAUGUUUCUGUGAAUUUUUAUUUAAAUUUAGUGCCAUCCUCGUUUGUGUUUCAAUUCUUUGAUUUAGGAAGGUUGUGAUUCUCAAAGACAAUUGGGCUUCUCUAUCUCAAGUUUGAUAGGGCAACAUGACCUUGAUGGAAUGCUUCUACAUGAGGGGUUAAAUUGGUAUCUCUCAAUCAAGAUAGACAUUGGUAUCUCUCAAUCAUAGUCCCAUAACAAGAUAGACAUUGGUAUCUCUCAAUCAUAGUCCCAUAACCUCUUUUAAUUUUGUUUUUAAGAUGUGACUUACAUUGUGUUUUGUACCUUUAUGUCGUGGCUGAGGUGUCGGCAUGGUUGGGUUCGUCCCGAGUGUGCAAGAUCACCAGCAUGGCCUCUGAGCUGGAGCGUGUUAACCCGAGGUUUGGUUGAGUGGGGGUAGACCUUGUUCUCUUAGGUGGAGGCUGAAGGUCACUCAUUUAGUUGUCCGUUGGGUGCUUGCACACAGGUCAUAAUCGGGAGGGGGAUUUUCGACCCGACCCCUCCGCUGCUUAAGCUAGCAAGAAUUGGAGAUGAGAGAGUUGGAGUGUGUGUGUGUGUGUGUGUAUAUUUGAGGUCCGACCCCAAUGCUAUUCUUGGGGGUGGCUUUAAUACUUGUUGUCGUGUGUUGACGUGCGUAGCUGUUAAUGGUCAUCGACGUCUUCAUACACAUGUGUUUAAAGAUGUCGUCGCCAUGGGUGGUCAGCUUGUAUGUUGGGACACGGGUGCAAUCUGAUAUGUCUGGCCCUGCUUCAUUUGGUGUUGCUUUGGAGUAGCUCAAGACGGGGCUACGUUGCUUCGUACAGCCUCUUGGUGCAAUGUGCUGGUGCAAUGUGCUAGCAACGUAGAUGACAAGCGGCUGCCUCGUUCAGAUCAGGGAUGUUGAGUUGGCUCAGUGUGCUUUGGAACGUUGUGCCAGGUCCGUGUUUGUGGAGUUGAUGCUAGAAUAUGCUAUAAUCACAUUGUAUUAGAUUUAACUAUUUAUGAGCGUAAUUUGAUCUUGGAAUUUUACUCGUAUGUGUUUGGUUGUAUGGAAGAUUUGUGGAUAACUCUUUCUUUUGUGAGCUUCUUUGCGAUUGUUUGUUCCUAAAACAGCUUCUGUUUCCCUUUAAGAAACAAGUAUUUACUCAUGGAAUUCUUACAAUUGAAGCAAUCGCCAUUUUCAUAUCAUAUUAGACAACAAUGUGUCAGCAGCACCUGUAUAUAAUAUUCACUGGUGCGUUGGGUGAGAUGAAACAACAUGCGUCACAACGUUAUGUAUUAUGUCUCGAAAGAAGUGGUCCAAAGUGUUUGGUUUAGCGAGUGAGAUCAGAAAUAUGACUUUACCUCAUUAGACUCAAAGCAAAGGACGGAAAUGCAGCCUUCGUUUGCGUCAAGUUUAGUUAGCUUGUUCCUCAAGAUUACUGUUGCUGGUCUUGUCUUGUGUCAGGUCAGUAGGUCCGUUUCUCAAUCUUUGUAUAGUGCAUGCCUCGAUGAUUAGGAGAAAAAGGAUGUAAGACUGCGAGCAGAGCAGACUUGUCAUAAUCUAUCGAUAUGACAAAGUAAGUACUACUGAUGAUAGGUACAAUUCGACGGUCCAAUUUGACUUAUUAAUAAAUAUAAAAAAAUAUAUAUUUAGGGUUUGAAACUGAAACAAAGAAAACAAUGAAACUGAGAAAAACACUCACUAGCUAUGGUGUAUAAUUCCAUUGUAGUAUGCUUCAAAUUUUACAGGCCUAGCUCUAAAGCUGUGUACAAUUAAUGGGCAGAGAUACAGGUUUGCCAGAAAUCAACAAAACUCAGGUAAUCAAGCGAGUAAUUAAUGGCGGAAAUCAACAAAAAUUCUUCAACACUCAAUCACAAGACCCGAAGAAGAAGAAGAAGGAGGAGGCGCAAAAAAGGAGCUUCCUUUGUGUGUCAUUGAUCAAGUGCAUCUGUCGUCGUUUCUUCCCGGACCUCCGUAGUAGAAAUAGUUCCCCCACACGCUGUUGAUCCCGCCUUGUACGUCGUAACAACUGGGGCGGUCUGCGAGCACUCGCAGGUUCGCCACGGGAAUCAAGCUGUUGUCCCAGUCCACCACCUGCAAGUUCCGGAAGUAGGAAGCCCGGCCGAAGCCUUCUCGGGCGUAAUGCCCGCUCCCCAUCUGGGUGGCGGUGUGCAGCCCCUGCGGCUGCGUGUUCACGAUCUCCCCCCCAAACUGCACCAUGCUCGCGUGCUCCGACAGGUGGCUGAACAAGAACGACGGCCAGUAGCCCACCAGCUCCCCCGACCCCAACUCCAGCCACCAGUUCCCAUGGUUCGGAUCCUACACAAACAACUCUGCUUCAUCUCUGUCCUUCAACGUUUUGUUUGACCGAUAGGUUCUUACCUUCCAGACAAGCAGGCUGAUGUCAAACUGGCCACCGUCGUACGUCGAUGUCGGGGAGAUGGCAGCUCCGAUGGCGAUCAUGUUGUUUGUUUGGAUGAAUCCAGAACACAAAAGAUUGUAGCAUCCGGUUGCUUGGUACGCGUCGGUCUUCAAGACACGGCAUGCUGAAUCAUUAGCCAUAUGAUCUCCCAGUUCGAAUCAGUGGUUUGUAUGACAAGGGAACUCACCGUCCAGUAUGUGAAGAACCUGGGAGAACUGUCACCGUAUAGCUGCGGACUCACCUGUGGCGAGAGAGAAACUGGAAUUGGUUUCCUCUUUUCGCUUGUAGUUCAAAUAGAGUUUAUGAUCGAGUACCUGCCAACCAGCUUCGAUGGUGUUGAGGUCAGUGCCGAAAGAUCCAGAGAUGACCCAUACUUGCGAUAAGCUGAACUCGGAAGGAUUCGUCACCUUUGGUGCCCACACAUUCAAGCUUGCUUUUGCGCCGUAGUAUUGAUCUCCCACCACAUAGCCCACUGCGUGCUGUAACCAUGUAGGAUCUUUACAGGUUACGGAAUACAGGCAUCGAAUGAGCAGAUUAAGCGACGAGCAUCACCCAAACAAUUAGCCGAGACUAACCUCGUGGCCGCCGGUCUCGGAAUCAUGCCUUGAUCUCACUGCCAGCUUCCGGCCAAACCUCUUGACUGAGCUGGCUCGCAGGAUGUCUUCUUCCUUCGUCCUCCUGAUCGGCACGGUUCCACCUGGACACGACUCACCAGAAACUCUCCACAGCUGGAAGCUGUUCUGGGUCGCGGCAUCAGCUCUGUGGCCUUUGGGUCUCUCUGGUGGAUCCUGCAAGCAGUCGAAAUCAACAGCUUUUUCUUCCCCAGUGUAACGCAGCGGUGAGAAGCUUUCGUUCUAUUACCAGAGGUUUCAUUCCUUUCAGUCUGGGAUGAUCGAAUGCUGGUUGAAGAUGAGAGAGCACGCAGUCGAUGGUAUCACCAUCUGGACUCUGUUCAACAGGCAAAAGACUAAGACUCGGAUUCCACGAAGAAGAAAACAACUGGGUUCUGAAACAACAAGUGCCUGAAUUGUCUUCACCGCAGGCUUGUUCAGCCUCCUGAGAUGAGCUCUGACGCGCCUGUAACUCCGAAGCUCUUCUCCUGGUCGGAAUGUGUUGUUGGCUGCGGCUUCCGAGAAGACAGGACUCAUACCAGCAAGCAGAAGAAGAACACCAAGCGAGAGAAGAACCAUCGGAAGAGUGUCGUAGCCGCCAGUGAAUCCGCCUUGUUUCCUUAUCUUCUUCCUCUUCCGCCGGACACUCUCAUCUCAGAUCAAACCUCUUCUGCAAUCAACUAAACCGCUCUGACUCCCACCAAUGACAUAUCAAUCUUCCUUCUUCUUCAAAAGAGCGUGGCGUAGCCUCCUCUGACAAGGCAUGAUUCUGUAACAUGAGGCAACCAAAAGAACAGGCUUAAUUGCUGGGGUGCUGCAGGUAUAAUAUAGUCCUCUCAUGCUGGGAUGGUAAUCAAGAUGUUGGGUGCUUAAAGUGAUGCCCACUGUUUCUUUUCCUCUUCUUCAUCUCUUUCUUUUGUGCCUAAAAUGAUGGGUUUUAUAGGUAGGCGUAGAAAAAGGAGGAGGAUGAAGCAUUGGAAUACAACUCACGAGGGACAGCAGCAUCUUUAGCUUUUCCUUUUUCCCUUCUCUUCUUUUCAUUUCUGGUUGUGUGGGGGUGCUGUGGGUGCAUGCAUGCUCUUUGGGUUUCCUCCAAGUACUUGCUUUUGGGGUUUAAAGGAGGCAAUCCACUCGAUUCUGGGUGUCUUUUUUUCUCAUGUUCCUAGAUGUGUGUUGUCAGUCAUUGUUUUCUUUGAGGGACCUCCGCCCUGUUUCCUUCCCUUUCCCUUCCCAUCCAACGUUUUGGAACCAUCCUUGGCAUAUGGCGUCUCUGCAACACAAGCUUCUCAAAAACCUUACAAAGAGGCAAGCUGUAAGUGGACAGAAUGCUCUGUCAUCUUGGGCUUCUCUUCUCCUCUCCCAUUCCAACAGGCAGAAGAACAGAGACUAAUGGCCGAAACUUGCUUGCCCCAGUCAAAGGAUUAAAGAUAUAUGUCAGUGCUUUCCCAGUGUAGGAACUGAGAAUAGAUUCUGAUCCCACCACGAAGCUAUAAUCUUCUUACCUGUGCAUUCUUAGAUAGGAAGACCGAACCAAAGAAUCCAUUGUGGCCGAAGCUUUUCUCUGUGUAAGGGACUGCAGAGAGGCCGUCCAAAGUUGGCCAAUAUAAUUAUGUCUCGAGUAUUACUGAGCUUUGAGAAAUAAGUGCAGCCAUCCAAAAAGGACACGCCGAGCACCGCAUGCCGCCUACAUAUAUACUAAUGCCAACCCAUCGAGUAUGUUUCUUCUCACAUGUCCAACACCAUGAAUCGGUCUUUACCAUGGCAUGUAUCAACCUCCUCACCCAUCAUCAUCAUCAUCAUCGAGGGAAUCCGAGAACGUCGAACGACCUUUCUCUUUUCCGUUCGGCUCAAACCGGGUCCAUCCGGUCCGCCAUUUGGCCCAGGUCUUCUCAUGGGCCGAGCCGGGCGCCUCGAUUCGAAACCGGUCCAAAUAACUAAGUGGUUCAUGCGGACCUCUUCGUUCGUCGUCGGCUGUUACCUUCUGUGUGUUAUGUACUGUAUAGUUAAUGGUAAUUAUUCGUCGCCACUCUAUAUAGCGGAGAGGAAAGAGAAGAGGCAGUGUGGAUAGAUGAUGGGUGUUCCGCCUCGGCCUACUUCGUCUGCUUCCUCCCCUUCCUCCUGCUCCUACCACUGGUGCUGCUCCUCCGUCUCUGCCUCCUCUUCCUCCUCCUUGUCUCCUUCCUCCUCUUCCCCCACCACCCUCCACAGGUAUUUCAAGGCAAGUAUUAUCUGUACUGAUUCCUCCCCUUUCCACCUUUUUUCUCUUUUUCCGCCCUUCACAGGAACUUCAGGUAUUGUAUCUUCUCCUCUUUGGUUCUUGGUCUUGUCUAUUUGGAAUUUGUAAUCAAAAUGAUGGUUUUUUUUUUUUUUAUCGCGAUUGUUUGUGCGUGUGAUGAUUUCCUUGCAUAAGUCUUCAUUGUCGCUGAUGCCUGCUGCUAUAUGGUUGGAUGCGUCUACUAAUUCAGCGCUGCUGUCGAAUCGACUGCGGCAGCGGGAAAGACUUGCAAGAAAACAGGAAGAAUUAGGGUUAAUUGAUCAAUGGAUAAGGAAGAAAACAGGAGGCCACAAACACCCGAACCAUGGAACAACUCGCCGAUAUUCUUUCAUAGAUUCCUGAGUUGCAGCCUAUAAACCUCCGAUUUCAAAUCUAUAGAUUAAUUAGUGGAGACAUGACCUAGAUUAAUUAUAUGUUAACCAAAGCUGAAAAGAAACAGAACGUUUUGAAGGUAGCGUUAAUUGGUUGGUUGUAAUUGUGUUUUACUGCGAUUGGCACCUAGAACCUCAUGGUGAUCACCUUAAGAAGGGGAAAUGGAGUUGGAUAAUUUUAUUUGACUUUAUCAUCAUGAUAUGAUUUGAAGGUUGCAAUAUCAUCCAUGCUUCUUUCAAAGGCUCGUGUUGACUUCUUUGGCAUCUAGGUUUUGGUCAAUGACUGUAAGGAAGUCAGUAUUUUUUAUAUACUCAAAUUGCAAAGUUGUGCCUUCAUAGACAGAUAUCCUCCUACAUGCAGGAAGUUGUCUUUUGUGUUUGUAGAUGGUGAAUUUUUAGUUGAAUUGAUCAUAACAUCCCAAAGAACAGUAUUUCUCCAACAGUGAUGGUGUCACUGUCUGGACUUCCAGAGAUGACAGCAUUUUUGGUAAUGUUGCAAUCUUAUUAAAGGGAUAACUUAGAUCAUAGUAUUUAUUGACUGCUGACUGAAAAAGUGAUUGUAUGUCUGUUUCUUUUUUUUUUCCUAUUUGAUGGUCUUUCUUCUCUUUCUUUCUUCUGCUGGUUUUCUCCGUGUCCACUGUCUUUGCAACAAAAGUAAUUCUUUUUGCUUUAAAUUUUGUCUUUUGUUUUUGUGUUUAUUAGAACGCAGAAUGUUUCUUUAACUUUCUCAGAUGUGAUUCUUACCUUGUUCUUUGCUGGAGAGAUGAACAUGUUACACCUUUAAUUUUAAUAAUUAGAAUGAAAAGCUGAUUCACAUAAUUUCUUUUAGUCGUAGAUAUUAGAUUAUGAAACAAUCUAUGAACGUUGCCUAGGUUAAGGUUGAAGGCUUUAUUAUUAAAGAUGUGACCCUUGGAUCCAGGCUACAUCAAGGUGAUAUCAAAAUGAAUAUUGCCAUCAAGGAACAAUCUUUAAUAGCACUUUGCGCAUUGCAAUGGUAGAGGAACCGUAUGCAAACAUAGAUCACUUCACUGCAUAUUGCGGCCAUCCACCGCAAGACUUCAACAAAGAGCUGUACAUCUACAAUUAUAACAGAAAUGAUAGUUGAAAUGUAAGAAGAUUUGAAAUAUACCUUUCGAUAGGUGUAACGAGUCACUUGAGGAAGAACGAGCUGCAGGAACUAAAGAUGCAGAAUUGAUACCAUGGAAGAAUCAGCUUUAUUGAAGGUCAAUUUAUGGAAGAACAAGUUAAAGCAAUAUUAAAGAUGGAUGUUGGGAUGAAGUUGUUAAUUGAAAUGGAGCAAAUCCAUUUGAAUGUCCGUCCAAAUUAAAAGAAGCAUCAAAGACCAGAGUAAUGAUGCAAGAGAUUCAUCGAUAUUGAUGCCUUUUUUUCACAGCAUAUGCUGGCUCAUGCCAAUUGGAAUGCAAUUCUUGAAAAGCCUUUACAGUUGCAAAUAUUGUUGGAGGACAAAUGUGUGAAAUCUCUGUUAUAUAUCUUGAAAUAAAUAAAAUAAAAACCUUUGCGAUUGGUGAGUCAUGGCCACCCAUUUCAUGUUAUUGUGUUUGUCUCUUUUCUCUCUCUCUCUCUCUCUCUCUCUCUCUCUCUCUCUCUCUCUCUCUCUCUCUCUCUUAACCAUUGCUGCUAUUCCAAUUGUACCUUCUCAGUUGGCAUCGAGGAGGUGCGUUGAUGGAAAGAAAUAUGAGAUAAAACCACAUAAGAUCCAAGGUACCCUUUUUCAUAUUAAAAUACUCUUUUUGUCUUCAUUUUUUUCUUGUAUUUGUAGUAUGUACAAAAUCUGUGUGCUUAAUUGUAUCAGGAAAACCAGCACAUAAUGUAUAUAGAUAUGUCAGAUCAAAGAAUCAGUUUCUGAUUAGGCGGCUAACUCCUCUUGCUACAUCUGAAGACCAGUCAUCCUAUACUGAGCUUGAUUUGGAAAGUUUGGAGUCAGAAAAGUUAGAUUUGGAUAAUCAAGAUGGCUCUUCAAAAAGAAGUUUUUCUUAUUUUACUGGGAAAUCUGAAGGGAAACCAGGGUUUAUCUCAUUCCAUGGUUAUCAUUCCAUAAAGGGAGAUGAAGUUGGAUCUACUCCAACCAAGAAAACAUCCAAAAUUCUUUGGUUUAUUGGUCCGACCGUCUUGGUAGCCUUCUUGGUUCUCCCAUCACUUUAUUUGCGAAAAAUACUUUCUACCUUUUUCGAGGACUCUUUAUUAACAGGUACUAUGUCUUGUAUACUUUAGAAGUCCAAUCUUUUGAUAUUCUAUUGAUGCUAUUUAUUAUACACACAUAUCUGAGUUUUAGCUGGCUACUCCAUUUUGCUUGGUCAGACACCAUUCUUGGUGUGGUAAUUACUGUGUGAAUGUUUGUGAAUAUAUGUAUGCAGUUUAGUGGUGUGGAUGCAGUACAAUAACAGUUCCAUGAAGGCAUUUAAGAUCAUGUAUAAGUUUCUUUGAGUGAAGGUGUUACUUUUUUCUGGUAGUUUGAUAGACAUUUUUCAAGUAGUUCUAGUAUGCAAAUUAUAGUAUGUCUUUCAUAUAAUCUUGUGUGUUGAAAGGUAGCCUUGCUAGCAAAGUUUCGGAAAAGAUACUUUUACUCGUGGAGCUUUUACUCAUGGAAAAGGGGGCACAUAAUGAACUCUAUUGGUAUGAACUUGGGAUAGAUGUUUGUUAAUCAUUCUUAAAUGAUCACUAAGGUUUAUAAUUACUAUGUUGAAAAUUAUAACAUGAUAAAACUUUAUUUUCAUUCUCAACCUGAAAGUAUCAUUGGACAUGUUGAAGCAAAGCUGAAGAGGUACAAACAUAGAACCCUAUCACUUGAUUUGAUGUACUAGUGUCAGCGAGAAGGACAUUUAUUGAGGAAUUAAACAAUUGUGUCUCAUGUGAGUUUUGAGUGAUCUGUUUGUUAUGUUGGAUUUCUUCUUCUGGGUUUAAUUUGGAAUACAACCUUCAAGAUUUUACAUCUAACAUGCCCGGAGGUCUCAUCAUGUUCCACACUUUCACAGUCCCAUAGAUUCUUUUUAGCUAAAGAGAUGAUGAUAAUUUGUUUCUGUCAAAACACUACCUCAAGCCUAGUAAGUCUUCACUUGCUACAUUUACAUGGUUCACCUUAGAUAGUGCACCCAUGGACUGAAGAUGGUCGAAGGAUUCUUUAUUAAGCAAACCACUGCAAGGUAUGGCAGCAAAAAAAUGGGUUGCCAUGCCAGCUGGCACAUCUCAUGCCAACACAAUGCCGGCACCAAUUUGCCAGGAUUCUAUGUUUUAAAGAUCCAAUGAUAAAAUCUGGAUAAAAAUGGUCAUAGAAAAACCCUAACCUACACUGGGCUAGGAUCCUGUAGUUAUAACAAUGAGGGCCAUAUGAUGGAUGAAGCAAUGCCUAUGAUAAUAAGAUUCAACAUUCCAACUUGAUUGUCUUAUGUAGUAAAUAUCAUCUUCUCUAGUUUUUAGAAAAAUUUUUCCAUGUUCUAGAAUGACAUCUUUGUGAUAAAUAAGUAUAUAUGAUAUAUUGAAAUUUGAUCGGGAUAAAGAUUGACCAUCCUUUGGUGAACUCUUUUAUUUAUUUGUUCUGGCUACAGAUGUUGCAACAGUGACAUGACAUUGCGACAGCAAUGUGAUUCACAAAAAUGUUGAAACCGAAGCCUAAGCUUGAGAUCUUAUGCACUCCAACUGCAGUAAUUGAAAUACCUUCCAAUUUGUUUUGAAUCAGUACUUAUCCUGGACCGAACAAGUGAGAGUUCCAAGGUUGAAUGAAAUUAUUUCCUUCGUGAUUGUUGUUCUGCCUUUGCUUUUCAGGUUAAUUUGAUUAUUUGAUGUAAUGCAACACGAUUCCAUCUCUUUUGCCCAUUUGUUUCUCUUCCUGGUUUUCCUCUUAUGAUAUUUCCGGUACCAAGGCAAAAAUUUUGUUCAAAAUUUUCAUCAACUGUUGCUUCUAUUUUUGUGGUCAAUGGAGUCUGGAAACUCAUUACUAAAUAAUACUAGGUUGCCACCAUGACGUUCUGAUGCCUUGCUGCUCAAUUUUACGAAAUUGAUUGUGGUAGUAAUUUUUUUUGUUUAUAUGUGCAGAUUUUCUCAUACUCUUCUUUACAGAAGCUCUUUUCUACAGUGGAGUUGCAAUCUUUGUUCUGCUAGUGGAUUCUCUAUGGAGACCUGUACAGGACAAAGCACCUAACCAUUACUACUGGUUGAAAACCCAGUAUGGCCUUCGUGUAACUUCUGUAACAACAUUGGUUCUGACCCUUAUAAUACCUCUUUUGACCAUGGGCUUGGUCUGGCCAUGGACUGGGCCAGCAGCUUCGGCUACUCUAUCACCGUAUUUGGUUGGCAUUGUUGUACAAUUUGCUUUUGAGCAGUAUGCUCGUCAUAAAAAAUCACCUGCUUGUGCAGUUAUACCUGUUAUUUUCCAGGUGAGUGCAUCUGCUAAUCUUGAAUUACUGGCAGAUAGCUCAUAAUAUAAAAAGUUUUCAUUCCUCCAGAUAUAUAGACUCCAUCAGUUAAAUAGAGCAGCUCAGCUGGUGGCGGCACUAUCUUUUUCAGUUAGAAGUGCCGAAAAAACAUCAUAUACAAUGGCCAUAAGCAACUCCUUGGGGACUUUGUUGAUUGUCCUUCAAAUCCUCGGCAUAAUUUGCGUUUGGUCACUCUCAAGCUUCCUGAUGAGAUUUCUUCCUCCUUCAGAAGUGAUCACCUAGCCUUCAUAUGGUUCCAAGGUUUGCGACUAUCGAAAUAUUAUUCUAGAGCUUUUCUUGAUAGUUUCCAUGAUUUCAUCUUUCCUAUUGGUUUGCCUUGGUGAUAAAAUAGUUGGACAAAAAAAUCUGCACUGUGUUAUUGAUACAACCUGCUGCUUCAGUGCAGAAAUCAGAUGAACAUUUGUGUGACUUUGGAGCCUGGACGUUUGGAUGCUACAGGGAAACAGAACCUGAGGAGACCCAAGAAUGGUUGGACAAGGGGAAUGUGAAACUGAGUAACUCCCUCCUUUUUCUUUAUUUAUUUUCUUUCCCUUUUGUAUUUUCUUUGAUGCAUAUGGGAAUUCAAUAUGUGGCUAUUUUGAAUAACCAUGUGGUCUCAUCAUGUAAUGUCCACAUUUAUUGGAACCAAAUAAUUAAAAUUCCGUGACUGAUCUCAUCAGUAUUAUUACUGCUAACUAUUUCUAUCAUCAUCAGUACUAUCUAGUUCAUGGUUCAUUGGGACACUGCCAAUCUUGGGGUAGAGUUCAUGUAUUUACUAAUGUAAAACUUGGAUGAGGAUGUCUUCAUCAAAAUUAUGUUGAUCAACUACACAUGAAUUGGCUUACUAUUGUGUGCAAUCAAAUCCAAACUUUAUGUGGAUUACUUAUUUUAUGCAUAAAUUUUAUUUUAUUUUCUUGUUGUUAUAGACAAUUCUCAUCUGUGCAUAUAUUUUUAGGAAAUAUUAAAAAAUGUGUAAUUAAUAUGACUGAAGAAGAUGGUUUAUAAAAUAAUAAAUUAGGCAAUAAUUUUUUAUAUUUUAUUUUUUAAUUAGAUUUUGGAAGAAUGAACAACCCAUUAUUUGGAUUCACAAUUUUUAAAUAUUUUUACCAACUUAAAUAGAGAUAUUUAUCCCAUAAUAUGAUUACUAAGUCUGAUAAAUAAUUUAAUCAUAUGGAUAUUAAUUUAAUAUAAAAUUUAUUUUCUUGAGUGAGCUCAUCAAGACACAUCAAUGAAAGCCAAUUAAUAUUUAUUUGAGACUCUUAUUCUUCAUCUAAUACUAUCUAGAGCAUCGAAGAAAUCUCAUCGAGAGAUUGAUUAUUCGAAUUAUGCAUCUGAAUUAAAUUAGGUUCAUUUAAACAUCACCCACAUCCAUCACAUCAAAUACUUAAAAAUAUUAAUAUAAAAUUUUAGAUUUUAUGUGAAAUCAGUCUCGGUAAAUAGAUUUAUUGCGUCAUCGUCGGACCAAUAUCAUGUAAGCAUGUGAGGAUAAUUACACAUCGCCCACUGCCCAUGGUUUUAAGUUCCCCACAAGAAGUUUUCUGUCCGUGAGUUGGAUGUGGGUCCCAUCUGCCACGUGAAAGGCCACCCGACCCCUUAAAACGCGUAUGGGUGGGCGACAGAGUCAACCAACAGCGGUAGCACAUUUUCACUGAUCCUUCAAGACUUUUGGGAUCUCACGGCAUCCUUUUUGACUUUGACUUUGGAGUGUCGCCCCGACGACUUGUGGUUGACCGACCAUCCUAAAAAUCCCUGCCCGCUCCGAACUUGGAUUGAGCUAGAGACGGGGGAGGAGGGUUCUUCCCCAUCGCAAUCACCCACUACAAUCCAAAAGCGUCGGGUACUCCCUCUGGUUCUCUAUGUUCUGAUCCAUGUAUGUAUGUGUGGUCUUCUCCCCUCGGAUUUCUGAUUUCGCACUUGUUCUUGUCAUAAAGUAUUACGGCCCGAUUUAUAGCUGUCGCGGAUGUUUCUCUUGUUUCUUGCUCCUACUGCUCAAAGAUUUGCAAGCAAAAUCUGUCAGAACUUGGUUUUGUUUCCUCCUCAUAGUUAGAAUCAAUCUGAGCGGAGGUGUCCAAUUCUGGCAAAGAGCAAAAGAGCAAGAAGAUGAGUUGGUUCUCGAUACCUGCAAAGGGUUCCCACUAAGCUCCGAAACAUGAUGUGAAAGAACACUUGUUUUGACAUCUACCACUUCCUUCUUGAAUUAACUUGAUGUUUCCGUCCUGUUCUUUAAGCAAACAAACUUGGUGGACAGUGAAUACAAUGUACAGAGCAACUUCGGAAAGAAUGUUCUGUAGAUACGAUCACUGAGGCUCUCUCUUCAUCCGGUGUGUGGUUAGGUAUUUAUGGUCUAAAGUAAGAAAUGUGACUCAAUUUCUGUUCUGAUUCAUAUUGAAAUUAACUUGCAAUGUUCUUUUUUCUUCAUGGAUGGAUGUUUACGGUUUUGCUAAUUCGACAGAUAGAUCUGGUACUUGUUGUGUUAUGAAGAAGAUUCGAAGUUCCGACACUCAUCCGAUGUCUACGGUUGGUUUGAUCGUCCACCCACUGGUUUUCAUGUUCCUAUAUGGAUUCACCAGAGGAGAUCCAAGAUCUGAAACGGUUGAAGUCAUGUGUGGGAGACAAUUGGAACAUAAUACCACAGCUUAUGUUCCAAAUUUCCUUGCUGUAAUGGAUAAUGUCGGCAACCAGAUACGAGCGGGCGGUUUUGGAAAAUCAACAGUGGGCUCCGGACCUGAUGGAAACUAUGGAUUAGGUCAAUGCUAUGGUGACCUUUCUUCUCUAGAUUGUGCUUUGUGUUAUGCUGAGGCGCGAACUGUUCUCCCCAAGUGCUUCCCCUAUAAUAGUGGACGUAUAUUCCUUGAUGGUUGCUUCAUGCGGUCAGCGAAUUACAGCUUCUUCACGGAGUACACAGGUCCUGAAGACAACAUAAAAUGUGGGAAUGCGACCCGUAAAAGCAGAGUCUUUGAACAGAUGGCUCAGCAGGCUUUACAAGAGGCCACCGAUAAGGCACCCGGAAAUGGUGGCUAUGCAAAGGCUUCUGCUCUGAGAAGUGGGGUCUUGAAUGAGUCGGCUUACGUUUUGGUCAAUUGUUGGCGGACGUUGAAUGAGAGCUCGUGCAGGGCUUGUCUCAAAAAUGCAUCAGCUUCAGUGGUUGGAUGCUUACCUUGGUCAGAAGGCCGCGCACUCAACACAGGAUGCUUCUUGAGAUAUUCGGAUACAAACUUCUUAAACGCUGACCAAAGCAGCGGGCUCGGAAGAAGUAUGUGAUAUUAGACAGAUCAUAGAUUUCUUGAUAUGAUUUACGAUCAUAAUAGUUUCUUUUAGGUACUCGUUCUUCUUGGCUGAUACACAGCUUUUUUUGUUGGACAUAUAUACAGGAAGCAUCAUUGCUAUGGUUGCUGCUAUCGGUAGUGCUCUGAUGGUUAUUGGUGUUGGGCUUACAGUAGGAGUGUUUAUGUGGAAGCAAAGGAAACUGAAAAAGAAAAGAGGUAAUCGAGUAUACUAGCACAUGUAAACUGUUCCAUUGUGCGACAAGAUAUCAUGACUUUUUAUGUACAAGAUGCUAGCAACUUCGUUUCAUAAGUAGCAGAACUAUGUUUAAAUUCAACCUUUGCGAUCAUCUAAUGGUUGUAUUAUGCAUAUUCUUCAGGUGCAAAUAAUGCUACGAGAUUGGCAUCAGCCCUUUAUGAUAGUAGUUUGAAUUUCAAGUAUUCCACACUCGAGAAAGCUACUGGAGGUUUUUCCAUUUCCAACAAGCUUGGGCAGGGAGGGUUUGGAACAGUUUACAAGGUAACGAACAAAUCACAUUUCCGUCAGAAUUUUUUGGUGCUAUUUUUCUCAUUUUCUCGGAUAAAUAAGCUCGAUGGACUAUAUUACCAUAUAAAAGAAUCAGGAAAAUUCUGCAGUUGAAGCAGAGAAUCCAUGAUCAAUAUCUCGUGUUUGAUAAACUUGCAACUGGUUGAUAGGGAACUCUAUCUGAUGGAAGAGAAAUUGCUGUGAAGAGGUUAUUCUUUAACAAUAAACACCGGGUUUCAGAUUUUUACAAUGAAGUUAACAUAAUCAGCAGUGUGGAGCACAAGAACCUUGUCAGAUUGUUGGGUUGCAGCUGUUCGGGACCUGAAAGCCUACUUGUUUACGAGUUCCUUCCAAACAAGAGCCUUGAUCGUUUCUUAUUUGGUAAAAUACUUACGAGACCAUUUUGAUACUGUUGUUGCUUCAGUCUGGCAACUAAUAUGACACACUCUAAUUCCUUCCUCUUAUAACAAGUGUCAAUACUGCAAUUGUAGGACCAGAAGUCUAUAUGCUAGUAGAAUUUUUAGCUGUGUCCGCAUUUAAUUUUUGACAGCUGCUAUUUUCACAAGCAUUGCCUCUUCUCCCAAUUUUGCUGCAUGAUUAAUCUAUUUUUAUUGUAACAAAAUGCAUUCUACAUGGUUUUGACAGAUCGGGAAAACGGUAAAGCAUUAGAUUGGCGUAAAAGAUUUAACAUCAUUACCGACACUGCUGAAGGUCUGUCGUACCUGCACGAGAACCCCAAGGUCAAAAUCAUUCACAGGGAUAUCAAAGCAAGCAACAUUCUGUUAGAUUUAAAGUUUCGAGCUAAAAUUGCCGAUUUUGGACUAGCAAGAUCAUUCCAAGGUGACAAAAGUCAUAUAAGCACGGCGAUAGCAGGAACCCUGUAAGUAAUCUUGCCUCAUCCUUCUGUUUAAAGUGCCAUGGAAUGCUUGAAUGAGCAAAACAACUCUUUUGCAUCACUUAAACUUUGUAUCGCCUGGCAAUUCACAUGCUUUCUUGUGCCUACUAUUUAUGUAUGCUUGAUAAAUUUCAUCAUCUGCUUACAGAGGCUACAUGGCUCCAGAAUACAUAGCCCAUGGACAAUUAACAGAGAAGGCCGAUGUCUACAGUUUCGGGGUGCUUAUGAUAGAGAUUGUGACUGGAAUAUCUAACAAUAGGAGCAAAAUUUGUGAAUAUGAUUCUGAGUCCUCGGAGAGUUUGCUAACUCAAGUAAGUGGCUGACCAUAAACUGCUAUAUUAUUCUAUGGAAUUUGUUAGUAUCACCUAUUGUUUUAGGGUUGUCAUGUUUGAGAAUAAGGCCUUUGAGGUGGUCUAACGUUUCUUAAAGGUGAUUUUCCCAAGAAAAAAAUUUUCACGGUCAUGAUUUCAUGUCUCUUCGACAAUCACAUGAAGGUUCCUAUUCAUAUAGAGUGACCAAGGGGAUAUUCUUCUCAUCGAAAAUAUUAUAGAGAAUGUUUUUCCAUACGACUGAUUAGAAUUCAGGUGUUGAAUCCUAAUUGGUCGAAAAUAUCAACCAUAUUAGUUCAAGUGUAUAUUUAAGCCUCGGCUAAGAUGCCAUUAGACCUUCCAAUCACAUGAAUGAUGUGUUGAAGUCCCUAGAUAUGCACAUUCACGGUAUCUGCUCUAUGAGCAUAAAAAGUGAAGCAUAAGAAAGAACAUCAGUAACAAUAUUGUAUGACCGAUGUCACUAAAUGUCUAAUCUGUGGAUGUGUAGGCAUGGAAGCAUUUUCAAUCAGGAACAGUGGAACAGUUGAUGGAUCCAAAUAUAACUCUGGACAGAUACGCAGAUGGCGAUGCUGUGAAAGAGGAAGUGAUGAAGAUGUUUCAUGUUGGACUUCUAUGCACCCAGGAGAUCCCGACAUUUAGGCCGUCGGUCUCUUGUGCAUUGCAGAUGCUAUUGGAUCGGGAGAAGCAGCCACCUGCACCCACCAAACCACCUUUUACUGAUGAUGCUUCCAUGGAGCUAAAUGAAACCAAGGAAAACGUAGAUUGGCCUCGAGAUCCUUCCUCCAUUGCCAAUGUCUCAACCGGCUCCUAUGAUCCACGAUGACAGUCUCCAGUCUCCAUGGUGAUCUACGAGUGUCUCCAUAUGGGGAAUAGUAUGCUAUUCCUAGGUAGAUUAUAAGACUCAAAACCAAAUAGGUAUGACCAUGAUAUAUAGAUUUGAAGAAGUGGCACCAAAAGGCACAAAAUCUAGCAAGUGUGAUGUGAAGAUGCUGGUUUUAUUCUUGUUUGUGGGUUUUUAGGAAACGAUUUUAGUAAGUCUACUUGUAUGGAGAGUGAUUAGUCUUUUUUUUUAUAAAUUAUAAAAAAAAAUUAUUAUACCAAAUGACAUAUAUGACAUUUACACAUGGAUUCAUUUUUGUAAUAAUGCACUAAUCAACACGAAUGUCUCGGUAGAGUUGGAGGAUAAAUAGUUAGAUGUAGAAGUUGCGAAUGUUAUGUUUUCUAUCAUUUUUGUAAUAAUGCAUAAUGCACUAAUCAAUACGGAUGUCUUAGUAGAGUUGGAGGAUAAAUAGUUAGAUAUUAAAAAUUUGAAUGCAAUAAUAUGCAAAUAACAAUCACUAUUAUGACGAUAACAUAGACGGCCGAAGAAGGUCUCGGGAUGAUUUCUCAUGAGAAUAACUCUCUUGCGGAUCUCGUCGGACUUCAAAAAACUUAUGCGAGGUCUCAAGAUGAUCUCUCAUGAAAAUAUCUCUCUUGCGGAUCUUAGCGAACUUCAAAAAACUUACACACUUUACGAAGAAUCUUGACGAAAUCUCAUGGACCCUCUGCAACUUGACGCUCCACAUCUUUCAUUUUGCUAAGAAGACCAACACAGACGAAUGAAACCAUAUUGCAAGACAGCACAACUCCCUGGCUCACAAGCUAACAAAUUUCCCAAGACAACUAACCUUCUUUUGUUGGAGAAGCAAUUCGCCACCUGACUCUUUAUGUAGAACUCUUUAAUCUAAGUUGACAUAUUUUCCUUUAAUCAAUCACGGUUUUGGCAGCAUCAUUCCACACUUCAUGUCCAUGAUUCAACACUUCAGUCGAUUCAAGGUAUCUCUCGUACAUCAUGCGAUAAUUGAAUCACUUUGUACACAUCUAUUCACCAAAACCAUCAAUUUUUGUUGGCUUGAGAUACGCAAAAAGAAUGCAAUGCAAAUCUCUAGCCAAUAAUAACAACAACCAGCAAGCACAAAAGAUCCAACGAGCUUACCCAUAAACUUCACUGGAUAGAGUGGAUAAGAAGGUUUAUCCAGUUAGCAAAGACCAACAAACGGCGCAAGCAAAGCACGACAUAUAUGUACACACAUGCUUAACAAGUAGCAUAAGGUCCCGAUGCCUACUGCUCAAAACCAUCUUCUUCGCCAUCAUCAUUGAGCAUUAUUAGAUCCUAGAAAAGACUUCUAAUAACCCCCUUGGAUAUAUGCGUUGAGGCGGUUCAGCUCCUCACGAUGCUCGCUCACCACGGCUCGAACAACAUCACCGAUGGAGACCAUGCCGAUCAUACCGUUGUUGUCAAUCACAGGGAUGUGCCGGAUGCGGUUAUCUAUCAACAAAGAAGACCACAACACAUUGAUGUCACUUUGUAUAGCCACUACUUACAUGCAACUAAUGGUAUGUAGAACACAGCAAACCUGUCAUAAGUUGCAUUGCCCGCAGAACUUUGGUAUCUGGUGUCACAGUGAUCAAUUUGUUCUGGUCACAAGAGGCCAAUGAAGUUUUAGCACGACAGGAAAAAGAAAUGCAAGUGAAAGAAGUACUUCACUAUUUGUUGAUUUUAAGGAGAGCAGCGUUUGUACAACUCCACCAUAGAGAUUAUUAUUUGCUGCAAAUUCUGCUCCUUAUAUGAAUUAUUCAGAUCAGUAUAGCAUAAUUUUGAAUACCGGGGCAAAGGAAAUGGACAAUCUUAUUUUAAACAAGCAGCAUAUUGCAACAAUAGCAGCUCGAAGUUACCUCCUCAGUCAUGAUGUCUCCAACUUUAGUUGAUUUGGACGAUCUGCCCUGGACAAUGAUCUUCCGGAGAUAAUCUGAAAAAUGAAAAUCUUCAUCCUUAGUGAAUGUCCAAAAUUGCACAUCCACAUGAAGAUGAUUGAGGAACAAUUACUGUGAAUAGCAGAAUGAUAAUUGUAUUUGCCAGAACAAAUCAUUAGAAACGGUUCUCUAAUUUUUCAUUCAUCUUUUUCAAAAAAAAUUCUUGUCAUCUAGCCUUGUGAGUCUCUAAUUGAGUGACACACAACCCAAUGGCUCUGGUGGUACACUUGUGUGCCUCCACUUGAGUGUCCAAAAACAAGUUUGCCUUUGGCGAAACUGCCACUAGAUUCUAGUGGUACUCCACCACAGAACUUUUAGGUCUGCAUAAGGCUCUCAGCUUAUUUCUCUAGAGAAGUAGAUCUUCCACCAGCCACUAAAUUAGACCACAUUUUCUUCUCCUUUUUUGUGCCUGAACACAGGCAUGUGCAUGUGUGUACAUUUGCGCAUGCAAGAAAAGGCACAUUAGUUCCGUGUGAAUAUAUGUUUUUGUACAAGUAGCAAUUCACCAUUAUCAAAAUAGUGUGUCGAAUAGUGACUACCUCUCUCAGUGACAAUCCCAGCAAUUGCCUUGUCUUCUCCAGGUUUCACCACCACUAAAGCACCAACAUUGUGUUGUGUCAUCUGAAAAUGCUCAAAGCAAACAGGGCAAUUUACAUGAAUAACAGCAGUAAUGUGCAUAUGCUUGUAAAUACCAUAUAUGUCAGGUUUCACAACACAAUCCCAUGCCAAACAAUUAACAAUCAAAUAUUAUGGUUAAGAAAAAUCAUACCGACUUCACAGCAUCAUAAACACUGUCAUCAGUUGUGCACCACAGCCAGGAACCAUCAGCACUCUUGCCUUUAGCUUUCAUAAUAUCCCGGAUGGUGGUGCUUUCAAAUCCAUGCUCUUCCAAUCGAGCAGAAGAAACUGACUCAAAACGUGAAAACACAGUAGGUAGCGUGGCUGGGUUCAUGACACGAAUAUGUUGGAGCAUAGCAUUUUUAAUAACAUUUCCAUGCAAUCGUAAUGAUCGGAGUGCUCCCUGCAUUUCUCCUGGCAAUUAAUGGUGCAGUCAUUAGACCAUUUGAUUAUCCAACUCUAAAAGAAACAAGCAUCUCAUCUCAGAAUCCACCAUACUCAUGCAGCUUAAAGGAAAGAUACACGAUGAAAGACUUGCUUCAACGAUUAAAGAAUGGAACAAGACAUAAGGCAUGGAAUAACAAACCAUUUCCUUUUGGAUUGCAUAUUAUCCUUUUAAAAUAACAUCCUUCACCGUCCACGAGACUAAUAAUAGAACUUCAGAACGAGACUAAUACUAGAACUUCAGAAGAAAAGUCCAUAACAUGGAGCCUGAUCUUUGAAAAAAGGCCAAGGUUAGCUUUUAAAAAUCACAUGUUUAAUGCUGUUCUGAACCUUCCAACUAUCUUGUCUAACUUGCUCCUGGAAAAUCAGUUUCGGUCUAUAGAUUUACGAGCAGGCUAGCUUCAGGAAAGUCAAUCUGUAACAGGCAGAGAUAUAGAGAUGACACAGCGGUACAUUGUGUCACACUACCGGAAGCUUGCCAGUAACUUUUGCCAACAGAAGCUUACCAUAUUGCAACAAUGCAGAAGCAUGAUGGCUUGCAAACAUCCUCUUCGUUCAAAAUAUUUCUCAUCUCCAACGAAGCCACAAAAGAUCCAGCUCGAGAAGUUUCAUGUGGCAUGCAUCUUAAAUCUUACCAUCCUGAUGGUACUUGAACAACAGCAUAAAGCUUGGAAGUGAGUCCACCUCAAAAAGACAAGACUAAGGUCUUUCAAACCCAGCCGCUAGUACUACACACUAGUUAUAUUUAGUUGAUUUAUUUGUAGCUUUUGAGAUGAGUAUUGCUUCCUAGAUAACAAGCUUGUCAUUUGUAUGAGAUUCUAGGCUAUUUUUGUUCUGGAGAUGUCUUGAAAGUCUCGACAGAUUUUUAGGAACCAUCAAAAAGCCCCUCAGAUUUUUUAAACAACACGUCCUUCGCAAGGAACUUAGCACCGACAAUUGCGGUAGACAUCAACAUGUGUCAUAAACAUUUUCAAAGCAAAAUGCCAACCUUUGUACAGAUCCAAGACUGAAAUCACUGUAAUAAACUGCCUUAUGUAGCUUCUCCACCCUUAUCAGCUAAUGAAAUCUCAUCCACAACUUGUAUUCCGCUCCUAUGACUCGAUUUUACAUUUCAAUCAAAAGAGGACAAAGCAAUACGCUCUCGAUCCACACCACCUAAUUGUUUUGAUAAACGAGAUCUCCAUUUCUUUUGAUCAUUUGGUUCUACGUUUUGAUCAAACAAGUGUUCAAAUUUCUCCUUUCUUAUUCCUCCUAUUUUUUAUAAGAAAAAAUAACAGAAAGAAAAAAUAUUACGAGACCGAAAAAAAUCCGCACUUUUUCACGGCCUUAAACAUACACUCUGCUACUCAUUUGUAUCAUCAUGGGAGACAUUCUCAGAAAACAAGGAGGCAAAUAUCUCACCCACAAAGUACUGGAGAUCUGGACGGGAUCAGAUAAGGAGAGAUCGGAAUCUCCCACAAAAGCUAAAAGCUUUAAACGAUAGGAAAGCAACCACGGACAAACAAAAACGGCUGGAAGAAAAUUAGAGUGAAACGAUGAAGAAAUAUCACGCUGCUGCUGCUGCAAAUCGUGCAUAAAGGAUGAAAGAGUUGACCGAAGGAGAAGGCAGGCGGUCAGUCUACCCGAGGGGUCUCACCUCGAGAAGGAAGGCGGUCUCACCGACCGAUAUGGACGGAUCGAUCGUGUGAGAGAGAUAGAGAGUUGAUAGCAGAGGAGUGGAUAGGGGAGCGUCGGCGGCGGCGGCAGGGCACACAAGGAAACCCUCAUAAAUGAAGUCGCCUUCCUGUCAUAACAACGUCGCUUUAUGGGUGUCGUCAUUAAUGCGCAUAAACAACCAAAUGAUACGUCAGUUGAUAACUACGCAUCUUUUCUUCCUAAUCCGAACCAAUGACUUGCAGGAAGCCCAAUGACCCAACUAUUUUAGUAAUCUUCCACAAUAUUCCUAAUAACAUUAUGACUAAAUAUUUGUUAUAUUUUUAGUAUCUCUUUAUUCAUUAUUAAUUUUUUUACCAUAACUAAUUAUUUGAAUAUAUUUCUGAUAUAAUAAAAUUAUUUUGAUGAUCAAUUAGUAUAUGACAUCUAUCGUCACGUGGAGAUUGGCACGGAAGGAAAGAGUCUCUAUCACCUUUCAUUCGGAUGACCGUUCAAGCUUGUCUCAUCUCUAUCGCCUAUGCAAACAAAAUGUCAAAGGAGGAAGUUGUGAUGGUUAUAGGCUUGUCUCCUCUUUUGACUACGUAUAAAAGCUAUACUCGAUACUAUGCCAAUGACUUUCUUUUCCAGAAAAAAAUUGAUAUAUCAAAAGAACCUUGGACUAACUUGAACAUCGGAAGGAUCGGGUCAGAAAGCGUCUUCCGACAUCGGUCUUAAUAUAAGUAAUGCUCAAGAAGCUCAGCUCCCACCCCGGAGCCACUCAAGAACUACUUUAGAGUCAUAUUGGAUGUUUUUGUGCCCUCAGGCUUGGACCACGUUGGGUCGACUCAAAUGUCAAUAACAAAUUCUCAUAAUAUUUUGGCUCUAGAAGGAGGGUUUGAUGUCACAAGAACAUCUACUCAUUAACCCUCUCAACGAAUGCUCCAGCGAGGAGGCAUUGCCUCCAAUCCAUAACACUUUUACUCAAGGGGUAUAACCUCUGUCCUUCCCUCACAUGGAUGCGUCUACUUAAGUGCAAACGCUGACAUGAUACUAACGUAUGUUCAAUGACCCAGGUCUCUCACCCUUGGGGACAAAUUCAAGCCACCUGUUUAUUCCAAUUGAAGUAUUCUUGAACCUCACCUAUCAGGUACAAACACUCAUGGGCAUGAUGUAGGCUAUCCCCCACUCUUGCGUUAGCUAGCCCAAUAAGUAGCACCAUCCUCUUAGCUAUGAUCAACACCUUAACCACCAUUGCCUCCGACACCUAUCGAAGUCCCCUCAACUAACACAGUACCAACCUUUCAAGAUCUCUCGAGGUUCUUCGGGCCCAUAACCAAAAGAGCACCCCGCUCCCCAAUGGUGGAGUUCAGCGCACUGUCAUAGCACCACCCUACCUCACCCGAGUCUGAGACCCAAUUGGUAGAUUCAAUGGAUGACUCCCUAAAUCCAACUAUAAGAAAUGGAUCAAGUAUGGACGAGAUGCAACGAGAGCUCUAGUAGUCCAAGGGGAGAACCCACUCGAUCCUACCUUGGGUUGCUCCCCCAUUUGCUUAGAUCAUUCAAGAAGAAUCAAUCCCGACUAACUUCCACCUUCUAUCACUAGAAGCCUUUGAUAAUAGCACUAACCCAAUUGUGCAUACUAACCUUUCAUGCCCAGAUGUCUCUCUUUGGCACCUUAGACACUUUGAUGUGUCAUGUGUUCUCGAUGACAUUAAGGGGCCCAGCAUGAGAGUGGUACACUUAUGUGAAACCACUCUCAAUUAGCUCCUUCGCUAAUCUUAUAAGGAAAUUUGAACUCUACUUCCUCAAUAAUAUAUGUCCAAGGCAAUUGAUGAUGAAAUUGCUUGGGCUCAAGCAAAGGAAGGAAGAGGCACUCUCUAACUUCAUCGCUUAGUUCACCAAUGAGAUCCGAAACGUGCAAGAGGCCUAUCCAUCACUCAUGAUUCAAGCUUUCAUGAUAGGGCUUAAGUCCCCUCACCUUUUCUGGUUAUUGGUAGAGAGGUCAUCGAUGACUAUACCCAAAGCCUUCCAGAGAGCCAAUCAAUACAUAGCCCCUAAGGCGAUGGUCUCAAGCAAGUACGAGGAGACAUGCAAAAGUUCGUAACAUGAGCAACCACCAUUGACUUUGGCCUAAAGAUCGCCUCGACGAGGAAAGUAAGAAUGACCCAAGUCGCCUUGCUCGAGACCCGAGCUGAUCCCCCUUAACAUGAUGAGAAAAGUCUAAUAAAGUAAGAAAAAUUUUGGGUUAUACCCUAAGGAGCUAGGUUGAGACCUACAUCGACCAACUACUCCUCAUCCAUCUUUUAGACUGUCUUAAAGGAAAAAAAAAAUAUCCCUUAAUCGAAGCACUUGAUUUGCUUCCUUAUCCAACAGGAAGGAAGGGGUGCUAUCAAUAUAGUGCACCGACGAAGUAAGGUUGAAUCCUUAAUCUUAACUCAAACUCAUGAGAAAGAAGCGCUCCUUUUAGCCUUUAUUGUUGAAAGGGGCACUGCUAACUUUGAAACACUUUCGAGUGGCUAGAUAGUAGCCAAUUUUUCCCUUGCAUAAAUGGAAAUAGGUGAAAAAGAGGGUGCAGACUAGAGUAAUGUCGGCACACCGACAUUACCUGAUAAACUCUAUCAGAAGCAUCAUGAGUUGGGUGCCAUUUGGGAGGAUGAUAUCCUCCGUCAUUAAAAAUAAGACACUAUCACUAGGUGAAAAUGAAGUUGAAGGCCUGCCUCGAGAGUGUCACAAGACAAAUAAAAGGACCCUUAGAUAGGAUCGGACGAGCGUUGACAAGGCCGAGGAACUUGUGGGUUGAACUCGGCUAAGAUACAAUAUAUAGCUCUCAAGUGAUCUAAGAGAGAUGCACUUACUAUUGAGUCAUAGUCAUGAGAACUUCUCAUAGACUCAAAAUCUUGAAGAACCAUCGAGUUCAUAGGAGAGGCCCCUUCCGAUAAGGAGGACCCAACUUUCUUUGCCCUCGGACUACUUGAAGAUGAAGCAUAAACCUUGAUCAGUUGACGGAUAAAGGAUCGAAAAGAUUUUAUACAAGAAGGGAGAGAUAUCCCGAGCCUAAGAUUGAAGAGUAGAACUAAUGCCGAGACGGAGGAUUUAAAGACCCGCUUGCCUUGUCGAGAACUGAGGUGAGGGAGGAGAUGCUCCUAAGGAGUCCUAGGGGUGAGACUGAGAACUCUCAAGGCUCUAAAGACUCUUAGCUCUAGAGACUCAGAUGAAAGAAUAAAUCCCACCCCACAGGGAGAGGAGAUUUAUAAGGAGAAGGUCGAUCUCUCUCCUCAUGCGAUCAAACCAAGUGUCUCUUCGAGGGCAAAUCCAAAGAGGCCUAUCACGGUGAGAAGGUCUGAGAUCUGUCACGAUAGAAAGAGAACUCGAAACCUGCCACAAUGGAAUGAGAACUGGAGGCUUGCAGUGGUAGAAAGAUUUAAAAAUCUAUUAUGACGGAAAGAAGAUAAAACUGCUAUAGUAGAGUCAUAGGGUCAAACAUGCCCAAGAUGUAUAAGUUGGGAGAUCUGACUUAUGUUAAGAUAAAUCCGCUAAGGUGGAAGUGCAAGGCCAAAUAUAUAUAAGGCAUGUGAGCCAGGAAACCCGACCCGUAUUAAGAUAAAUCCACUACGACGGAGGUGAAGGGCCAAAACAUGCCCGAAGCAUGUGUUAGGAAACUUGAUCUGCACCAAGAUAAAACUAGCUAUGGUGAAGGCAUAAGACCAAACGUGCCCGAGGCAUGUGAGUUGGAAACUUGACCCACAUCAAGAUAAGUCCACUACGACAGAGGCAUAAAGCCAAACGUGCCCAAGACAUGUGAGUCAAGAAACUCGACCCAUGUUAAGAUAAAUCCAUUAUGGCGGAGGCAUAGGGCCAAACAUGCCCCCGAGGCAUAUGAGUCAAAAAACUUAACCUACAUCAAGAUAAAUUCACUAUGAUAAAGGUGUGGGGCCAAACGUGCCCGAAGCAUGUGAGUCGAGAAACCUGACCUAUGUCAAAAUAAAUUCAUUAUGAUGAAGACAUAAGGCCAAACAUGUUUGAGGCAUGUGAGUCGAGAAACCUGACCCACAUCAAAAUAAAUAUGUUAUGGUAGAGGCGUAGGGCCAAAUGUGCUUGAGGCAUGUUAAACGAGAAACUUGGCUUGCAUCAAGAUAACUCCGCUAUGGUAGAGAUCUAGUGCUCAACAUGCUCGAGGUGUGUGAAUCAAAAAAUCCAACCAAUGCCAAGGUAAAUCCUCUACGAUGGAGGUGCAAGGCCAAACAUGCCCAAGGCGUGUGAGUCGAGAAAUUUAACAUGCACCAAGAUAAAUCCACUAUAGCGUAGACGUAGGGCUCAAGGUGCCCGAAGUGUGUGAGCUAGAAAAUCUGACCCACACCAAGAUAAAUCUGCUAUAGCGAAGACGUAAGGCCAAAGGUACUCAAGACACAAGUCUAAAAACCCAACCCACACUUAUUGGCAUCUCCAUCGUGUGACGAAGAAAUAAGUUGACGAUAGGCUUGCCAAAUGAAUUGACCAUCAUACUCCGAACCCCUCUAACAUGAGCCCCAAAAGAUGACUCAAGAAGAACAAAUUAUAGAGAACAUUUUUAUGGCCAAUCACUAUCCGACAUCUGUCAUCACAUGGAGACUAGCGUGGAAGGAAAGGAUCCCCGUCACUUCUACCUGCUUGCCCCCAUGGACAAUAGUUUAAGAGAGAUUAUUCGGGUGAUCGUUUAGGCUUGUCUCCUCCCUAUCGCCCAUAUGACAAAACAUCAAAGGAGGAAGUUGGGGCAGUUGCAGGCUUGUCUCCUCCCUUGUCCAAAUAUAAAAGCUAACCCUCGUCGUUAUGUCGGGAGCUCUCUUUCCCAAAAAAAAAUGGAUACCCUGAACGUUAGAGGGAUCGAAUUAGAAAGCAUCUACCGACAUCGAUCUUAGUACAUGUGGCGCUUAGGAAGCUCGACCCUCGCAUCAGAGCUACUUAGGAACUAACUCUGAUCACAUCAGAGCCACUCAAGAACCACCUCAGAGACACUCAAGAACUAUCUUAGAGUCACGUUGAAUGCUCUUGCACCCUCGAUCUCGGACCAUGUUAAGUUGACUCAGAGAUCGACGAUAAAUUUUUCUGACAUGUCUAACUCGUUUUUCGAGUACUGAGAGACAAUUAAGUCUCAGUAAGUUCACGUAGAAAUAAGUCUUGAAUUCAUUCUACUGCAUAUAAUAUGACGAUAAAAAUAGAAAAGACAAAGGAAAAAAAGGAAAAGGACUCCAUAAACAACACGGUUAACUCAAUCAAAGACGCUGUCGACAUAACAAUAAGAUCAGUCUUAUCCUUGUACUUCUCUUGCAGGUGCUGCUGUAUCUAUCAGCUAACGCUGAGCAAUCUCUGGAUCCAAUUCUCCUUGCUGUGCUUAACCCAUGGCAUACUUCAGCGUCCAGCUCCGAGCAGUGGACUCAUAUCUCAUACGAUCGUUCUUGCACAGAUGAGCGAUCUCAGGCACCAGCGGAUCAUCGGGGUUUGGAUCCGUGAGCAAGGAGCAUAUGGACAGCAGCACCUGCACGCAGCGUUCAUCAAGGAGGAGGAGGAGGAGGAGAAGUAGACUGCAGAGACGUACGUGUGAAUCACCUUACCUUGGAUAUGGUCAAGGCUGGACUCCAUUGAUCUUUGAGUAUGUCCAAGCAGAUGUUGCCGUUGUUGUUGAUGUUGGGAUGGAAGACCUUGGUCCUGAAUGCUACCUACUCGCAACACAUCAUGCUCAUAAAGGAGAGUUGGACUUGGAUCGAGUUAGUACUGAAACAACGGCGAGAGUAAUUACCUUGGGAGGUUUGAAGGGAUAGUCUGGUGGGAAGUGGAUGUUGACAAGGAAGACGCCGCCAGCAUAUGGGCUGUCGUUAGGCCCCAUGAUGGUGGCUUGCCAGUGGAACAUGUCAUCAGCCACAGGUCCUGAGCAAAAAACCCAAAAGCAACAACACAAUGAUCAUGGCACUAGAAGCUGUGUUAGUUAACAGGAAGGAGGAGUAGCUGAGCCUGACGUGUGCACCUGCACUGCACGAAGUUGGUGGGUCUCUCUGCAGGUCCUUCAACUCCUUAAUUAUCCUCCUCGACGCCAUUGAUCAUGCCGAGGAAGAAAGAAGAAGAAGAAGAACCUUGGAGUUCGGAACGGCGUUGAGUAGCGCUGACGACGGGGGAGGAGUUAUAUAGCCAAAGUAGUCCCUGGUGUUGGUGAUGCUGUUUGUGGUAGUGUUGAAGGUGGGCUCUACGAAUCGGAUGCUUGAAAGCAUUGAGAGCAGAAAGUAGGCACUAAGCAUCGCCGAGAAGAAACAGCUGUAUUGGGACGGGAAAGGAACGAGGGGAUCUCUUUCUCUUUGGCUUUCCAAUGGCCACAUUUCAACCUCGAGGGAUGCUUGCCGUGUUGGCCUUCGUCUCUAUUCGACACUCGUAACCAUCUAUCUUCAAUUUUAUUCCCUGCAGUUUAUCGAAGAAAAAGAAGAACUCAAUCCUAUUAACUCUGAAUGCUUUUUGGGUACGCCUUGUGAAAGAAUACAGACUGCUACAGGAAAUUGCGGUAGCUAAUUAGCUCACAACAUGAUUGACACAGACUGCUACACAUCAUAAUUAGAAACAUGUAAAUGAAAACACCAACCAGAGAACGUCCACACCAAAAACAUGGAGAUUUACAGAGAUCUAAUUAAGCAAUUGGAUAUAAGGAGAAUAAUGGUUUUGUGCAAGGAAAACUGAUUUCAACAAUUUCCGACACAACGUUAUAUCGUUAUCUGAAGAUACAUGCUCUAACCAGUCGAACACAUAAUCAGAAAAGAAAGCGAUCAUCGCGAGAUGGUUCCGUAUUUUGUCACCUCUCCCGGUAUACACGAAGCAGAAAACAACCUUAAGAAGAUCGAGAUUGAAUACCAGCGGCACGUUUCUGUUCAUCGGUUCAAUGAUCACAAGAUGGAGCAUCCCUUGUGUGCCUUAUUCUUCUUUUUCUUCUGCAUGGAUGGUUGAAGUGCUGCCUUGAUGGCUGCAUCAAAUACUGCCUUGAUAUUCUGCACAUCAUAUUUUAUAUCAACAUAGAUAGCUAGCAAUUACACAGCAAUGACUCCAAAGAUGAGAGCAGUGGAAAUAACUUACUUGUUGGGUCUUUGAACUGCACUCAACAUAUGACGGAGCGUCAAUAAGCUUCCUCAGCUCUUCACCCUUGUAUAAUAAGAAAAAGAACAAAGCAAGAAUCAUCAUAAGCUACUUUUGCGCAUGAUGACCAACAAAUAGAGACAGAGAAAGAGAGAGUACCUGAGCAGUGGUAAUGGGAACAGCACCUGGGUGAUCUAUGAAAAACUGCUGAUCAUCUCGAAGAUCUGCAAACAAUUCCAUGUAUAUUUAGUUGGAGCAAGUACAAAUGUAAAGAACCAAUCACGCAAGUACUAGGAAGUACACCAGGCUAGAAAUGGCUCUCUAUGCGAAGACUCAAUAUCGGAAAAUUAACACACACCAGAAUGGUUUUCAAAGUAAAACAUGGUGAAAAGUUCUGAAAAUUUUAGUCCUGAUGCAAUCAGAAAGCCCUUAAAAGCUAGCGUUUUGUGAGUCCUGAACUAAACUAGCAUGCAACACUUCAAAAGUCCCGGUAGAUCUGUUUUGGAGUGCUCCCUUACUCCUGGUCCUUCAUAGCAUUCCACACACCAUCAUGACAAAGCCACAAAAAAUCAAAUGUUUUCUAGGAAUGUUAGCUUCCUGCUGAGCCUUCCAACAGCUAAGAAAUGUACAAGGAGUCCUGGAGUUCCUAACUGCAAACAUAAUUAACCUCUAAACUUGAUGACAUCAACGCAAAAGGUGUAUACUGUUCUUCGACCAUUGAAGGAAAAAAAGAGCACAGUUACUAUGCUAAUCAGCCUUUGCAAUCAAGCAGCUUAGCUGUAUGUAAUUGCAUACUGUUCUUCAACCAUUGAAGGAAAAAAAAGAGCACAGUUUGUGUCCAAAAUGAUUUUUCAAAUUUCAACUGCCAUCCAUGCAGGCUAAGAAACUUGUGAAAUCUCUUAACAAAGAAAUAUCUCAAAAAGCUUCCAUGUUGAUUACUAAUGAUCCUCAAUUCCAAGUUAUGAAGCUGUUCUAACUCAACAUGCAAAAUCCAUCAGGCUUAGGGCCCAAAUCAGGAACAGCUUCUUUGAACUCCAUAAGUGAGAAACUGCUUUCUAACCUCAAAAGAAUAUCAAGAAUCACAAGAAUGAUAUCGUCCCAGUUCUCACAAAACCCAGUUGUCAUGAGGAGAAAACAGUUCGAGAUGGAGUUCUCCAAAGGCUUUCUCAAUUUCAGCAUGAUCAUUCAAUAUUUGUCAUGCAAGUUCAGAUUAGAAUUGUUCUUUCUGCAUCUUCCAUUAGAUAUAGCAUAAAAGGUCUAGUAUUCUAAUCUCUGAACCAUGGACCCCCAAGCACAUCCUGGUAACCAGUUUAAUCCUUCAAACUUCACCUUGUGAUUAAAUCUUCAAACUCACAUGAAGUUAUCCCAGAAUCCAAUUUCCUUCCAUUUACCAGUUUUAAUAUCCUAUUCAAUUCUGCUCAUUUUGCAUGUGUACUACCAAAUUCAGAUAAUCAAAAUUAGGAAUCCAAUUUCUAAAUCCAUAAUAUACCUGUAUAAAUUUCACUUUAGAGGAUUAAUCAGGGUUAUCCUAUCAUAAUAAGGCUUGGUUUUGGGCUUAACUAGAGCAUUAAUUCCAUUUUUUCUUGAAAUAUUAAUAGCUAUGACUAAUUGGUUUUGACUAAGUUGGAGAUGUAAUUGACAGUUGAAGAAACAUGAAAUUAAGGGUUGACUUUUGGUUUUUCCAAUUAAUCAACCAAAAGACCCCAAAUAGUUUUAAGGUCAAAACCACCACAUUGUUUAUGUUGGAAUGAGAGAUUCAGAUGAAGCCUGGAAUAAUUUACAGAUUGUAGGUCGAACUUUAGCUCUGUUCAGCUUUAUAUCUACCUAUAUAAUAAUUCAUCCACAAUAAUCCUAAUUUGGAAUCCAUUCAAUGGAAACAAGAAGUCAACAUGAACCUAAACAAUGAAAGAAAAGUAUUUGAUCAGAGUUUUUAGACCUAUUCUCAGUUCAAUCAACUGUGUAGCUUAUGACUUAGCAAGACACUAUAAUAUCAUUUAAAAAUUAGCUUAAAUAACUAAAACACCAGGAUGAAGAAUUAAAAACGCCUAUCAUGUACCAUGAAACAAAUCUAGUAUCAAACCCUCAAUGUUAACCAAAAUUUUCAUGUUCAAAGCAUUAUGGUUUGGAUUCUUGAGCAUGAAGUUACUAUUGUAUCUAUUUUUGUUAGUUUGAAAAUAUCUGGCAUAUAGAGAUUAACAAAGAAGUAGAUUAGUGAUUCAAGGGUUGAGGGCCAAUUAUGGAAUAGGAGAUAUGGUGGUGGCGAUUGGGCAUGACAAAGACAUGGUAAUUGUUGGUUCCUGAGUGUCAUUGACCAUAGAGUCAACACGGCCUGGUUUAGUCCCGAAAGCGCGGACCUAUCCCAGUAGCCCAAACGGAUCGCUUGGGUGACAAGUGGACUCAUGAGGCUUUACUGGCUCGCGGCGACCAAUCCACGGUUAUUUCGAGAUGCGGUUCGCUUACUAAAUGAAGUUUAGAGUCAUCUCGAGGUGCGCCUUGACCUUGUCUAGUGAUGCUCCACGCCACCCCGGGGUGCUCCUUAGACACGUCGGGACCUCUACAUAAUUGGUCAACGUUAAGAGAUUUCCCGACCCGACCCCUCCGACGCUUAAGUCAGUAGAAAAAGUGGAGAAGAUUUAGCAGAGCUCAGGAGAGUUUAGGUUGAGUCCCCCCUCGUCUAGUUUCGGGGGCUGGCUUUUUUACCUGAUUUAUCGAUGGAGGGUGACCAGUUGUUUGUCCCCCUUUCAGCUUCUCAUACCAUUAAGGGUUCAUUUAUGUUGACGGCUAGUGAACACGUGUUCCCAUUGAUUAUGUUCGGGAAGGAUAGUUGGAGGCAUGUCGUUUGUUAGGGUAGGGUCAUGCCUGAAACGUAUAGGAGAUGGGGAUUGGCGUCAAGUGCCCGAAGAGUCGGGCCACGUCAUUGAUGCGACCUCUUCCGAAAUUAUGGCCAUGAGUGACGGAUCGCUUGCGACCAACGACGCAAUCGAGGGGAAGUUUAGAGGACGAGUUUGGUCACUGUGUACCGAUGGUUGACUUGUGCGACUUCUUCGAGGAUCAUGUUCCGGUUGGGUGACCGCGUGAGGCGACGAUGCGAGCUCUUGUGUGCGUGUCGAUUCCAAGUGAUGGCCCACGAAUGGCCGGUCUAGCACUGGAAUGGCUAUGCCAUUGCUUUCCCUCUCAUGCUUCAUUGGCCUUUUUCCGUGGGUCAAGACAGGUGGAGGCUGGUGGACCAUUUCCGUGAGUUGCUCAUGCCUUUGCUUAGGUGGCUUCUUUAGCCCAAGUGGCAGGGUGAGUUGGCAGCACUGUUAUUUUUCCUAUCAGUAAUGAAAGGCAGCGCCACAGCAGCAAAAACUUUCCCAUAUUAAUAUGAUAAACUAUUAUUCUAUUUUUCAGGACUAAUAUCCCAUUUUGUUUUGACAAAUGAACUCACAACUAGAAACAUUUUGAAUUUCCAAUCUACACAAAUAACACCAUAUAUUGACUAGAUGAACAUACAUGAGAAAAUAAUAUGGUUAUGCAAUAUAAAAAUCACAAACAAAUUAAUACAUUGGGGAAGAGUAUUACCGAGCUUUGUUCCAACAAGAAUUUGAGGCACACCAGGCGCAUAAUGCUUUAGUUCAGGAAUCCACUGAUGAGUUAAAUAGAAAAAUAAAAUAGAUGAGGAAAAGCAAAAGAAUGAAUAAAAUUUGGCAUGAUAUUAACAAAGAUUCAAACAAAAAAAGAACUAAUAUUGAUUUCUCACCUUCUUGGUCACAUUCUCAUAGCUAGCUUUACUUAUAAGAGAGAAUGCGAGCAGAAAAACAUCUGCACCUCGGUAGCUCAAUGGUCUUAAUCUAUUGUAAUCUUCCUGGCCUGUUCCACUAAAACCCAAUAUUAGGUCGGAUCCACCAAAACUUUAGACUAGAGGAAACAGCCAAUGCAACAAAAUAAAUGUAGCAGAAUAGAUGAUGAGGCUGGAAGAAAGAAAAGGUUGAGAUACCUGCAGUAUCCCACAAGCCUAAGUUAACUGUGCUACCAUCAACCACAACAUUUGCACUGAAAUUGUCAAAAACAGUUGGAACAUAAUCCUGCAUGCAAGGGGAAAAAAUUUAUAUGUUUGCACAAGAUGGCCACUGAAGUUAUUCAUUAAUCGGAAUCAUAUAAAAUCCAAAAUUGACCAAGUUAAACGGAAGCCAUGUCUUCCAAAGGAGACAACUAAUGGGACUCCAAAAUGAAUAAUAUUCCUUCAGAAGAGAUCCUACUUCUCAGAAAUUGAGAAAUGCUCGAUGUGGCUAAAAUUUCGAUUUCCGAAAUCUUGGGAGAAGAGGGAUAAAGUCUAGUGGCUAAAAAAUGAAGCAUGUCAUGAUAUUGAUUUGGAUCAUUUUGGAUUCAAAGAAUUUGGCAAUGAUGAAGAUGAUACGGAUGGAAAGUGGAUUACAUUAAUGUGCAGGUCUAUGUUUGUAUAUACUCACUGUAUGUGUAUAUGUAUCUUGAAUCAAACAUAAGAUACUUGUCAGAAAAUAAGAUUCAGGAAAGGUAAGCAAUCUUUUAUUUGAUCUAGCCCCGUCACAUUGCAUUUCAUUCAUUUGAAUGAAAAGGAGAAAAGAUUUGAACUCUGUGCAGCAGGCUUAUACAAAAUUCCUGCUACUGAAGAAACAAAGAAUAUUUCAUUCCAAUAUUUGCUACACUCAGUUAAAAUAAAUUUAAUGCAUUACUCAUUAAGUUCUUUACAUACUUGCAACAAAAUAAAAUCAAGGAACCUAAUUAGAUAUUUUAGUUAGAAUAUACUUUUCUAUAUCUGUAUUCCACCAUUUUUAACAAAAUGAGAUGAAAGUAAGGGAGACUUCUUAAGUUAAAAACCACAUUCCUAUAAUCCUUCCUCAAAAUCUAAAAUAAAAGUAAAAUCAAAAGUUUCCUUUUCGUUUUUCUUUUUAGUCAGACAUUUGGUGCCAUUAGCCAACUAAAUACAAAAUGAAAGCCAACAUUGCCUCAGAUCAACCAAACAAACCAUGAAAACAACAAGUGGGCAGAAAAGGAAGCGUUUUUCCAUCUACAUUCCCUUGAACAACCUCAAAAAGAAAAGAUUUCCCAAUUCCGCUCCUUUCCCUGUGCCUAUUUCCCGAAAAUCAAACCAAAAACGAAACAAAGCCCCCUCCUCUUUCCUAAUUAUAGAGGAAAACCAUAAAUUCGUUUUGCCUUUCUGUGUGUGUGCGUGUUUGUCAUCACCUACCGUGGGGAAAGUAUUGCUGGUGUAGGAAAUAAGCAUGCAGGUCUUGCCGACGGCCCCGUCGCCCACCGUGACGCACUUUAUAAACCUUGACGCGCUCAUCUCCUCCACCGACCCCCUCGCCCUUCAGCCUCCGACGCUCCACGUCGGCCGAAGGCCUUACGCCGAGAACAACCGGCGAGCCUUUGCGUACCUCCGUCAAAAGACAGAGAGCGAUUCCGACAAACCCUAAAUACAGAGUAUAUCCACUAUUAAAAUGAUCUCUUCUUUUUGCCUUUGUUUCCUGUUUUUCCCUCUUCAACUUUUCAUUUUCUCUUAUGAGAGAGAGAGAGAGGGGGAGAGAGAGAGAAUGCAGGUUUGGGUUUGAUUGAGUUGUGCGAGAGGAAGAGUUGGAGAAGGGAGGAAGCGGGAGCCGCGAAAUGGUGCGGUUGACGCGGUCGUAGAGAGAUGGGAAACCGCUGAGGAUAUAUAUAUAUAUAUAUGUGUGUAUAUAUAUAUAUAUAUAUAUAUAUACACAUAUAUAUAUAUACAUAUGUAUAUAUGUAUAUAUAUGUAUAUAUAUUAUAUAUAUAUACAUAUACAUAUGUAUAUAUACAUAUACAUAUGUAUAUAUAUACAUAUAUAUAUAUAUGUAUGUAUAUGUAUAUGUAUGUAUAUACAUAUAUAUACAUAUACAUAUAUAUAUAUAUAAUAAAUUAGUGGCUCGCUCUCGCAAAGCAGAGUUAAAUUAGCAAUUAAAGAGCAAUAGAGGGAAAAGAGAUGUAAGCAAGGCGAGUCUGCUGCGGCCGCCCGUCCGCCGGGCCCCGCGUGGCGUCGCACCGGCGGUACAGCUCACAGAGAAGUCGAGCUUCAUGAGGCUCGUCUCCGACGACAAUAGGUUGGGCCGGCAGUUGUUGGAGAGGUCGAGCGUGGUGAGGCUCGGCAUCUUCAGUAUCUCCGGCGGGAUCUCACCCCAGAACCUGUUUGAUGAAAGUUUGAGCGUGUUCAGGAUCGGCAGUGCCGUGAUCUGCACCGGUAUCUCACCCGUCAACCUGUUCCGACUGAGAUCUAACGAGACGAGCGAUGCGCAGUGGGCAAGAUCGAUGGGGAACUCGCCGGUCAGCUCGUUCCCACUCAAGUUGAUCAUGGCCAGUGCCUUGAGACGACCGAUCUCCGGUGGGAUCUCGCCGAACAUCCUGUUAAUGUUGAGUUCAAGUCUUUCGAGCGCGGAAAGGUUGCUAAUCGCCGGCGGGAUUGAGCCGGUUAUCGAGUUGUUGGAGAGGAUGAGCAAGCGGAGUUUGUCUCCCGCGAUCACCGUCGGCAAUUCACCGGAGAGGUUGUUGUCGUUGAGCUCGAGCAUGUCGUUGGAGGGCAGAUCGAAGAGCCCGGCGGGGAUCGACCCGUUCAAGGAAUUCUUACCGAGUCGGACCCGAGUCAGCGACUUGCAGCCGCCGAGCUUCUCGGGAAUCGGCCCGACGAGGCCGUUGUCCAUCAGAACCAACAUCUCGAGCCUUCCGCCGGCGCAGAGAUCGCGCGGAAUCGUCCCGGUUAUCCGAUUCGACGCCACGUCCAGCGUCACCAGCCGGCCGUUCAUGCCGAGAGAUUCAGGGAGCUCGCUGCUGAAGUUGUUCUGAAAUAACUUGAGUUCCACGAGACUCGGUAGCUCCCCGAUGAACGGUGGAAUGAUACCUCGGAGAUGGUUCAUGAAAAGGUUCAAUAGCUUGAGCUCCUUCAGCUCCGCGAAGCUCUCCGGUAUCUCGCCCGUCAACUCGUUGAUGGAGAAGUCGAGGAACUCCAACUGGCUGAGUCCGCCGAGUUCUGGCGGUAUAGAGCCAUUGAGCCGGUUGAUCUGGAGAAAUAAGCUGUCGAGACGCUUCAACUGGCCGAGACUCGCGGGUAAUGUGCCGGAGAGGCGGCAUCCAGCCAUGUCGAGUCGAACCAACGACGACAGCCUCCCAAACUCCCAGGGUAUCCCGCCUUCGUACUUGUUGUAGUACCCGAUGUACAUCUCCUUGAGCUUGGAGAGCCGACUGAGGCUGGGCGGGACGCGCCCGGUGAGGGAGUUGCCGUUGAGGCCGAGGUAUUCGAGGUU